GCCAGACUCCUACGGGAGGCAGCAGUGAGGAAUAUUGGUCAAUGGGCGCGAGCCUGAACCAGCCAAGUCGCGUGAGGGAAGACGGUCCUAUGGAUUGUAAACCUCUUUUGUCGGGGAGCAAAAGACGCCACGCGUGGCGUUCCGAGAGUACCCGAAGAAAAAGCCCCGGCUAACUACGUGCCAGCAGCCGCGGUAAUACGUAGGGGGCAAGCGUUAUCCGGAUUUACUGGGUGUAAAGGGGGCGCAGACGGCAGCGCAAGCCAGGAGUGAAAGCCCGGGGCCCAACCCCGGGACUGCUCUUGGAACUGCGCGGCUGGAGUGCAGGAGGGGCAGGCGGAAUUCCUGGUGUAGCGGUGAAAUGCGUAGAUAUCAGGAGGAACACCGGUGGCGAAGGCGGCCUGCUGGACUGCGACUGACGUUGAGGCCCGAAAGCGUGGGGAGCAAACAGGAUUAGAUACCCGAGUAUA
This 467-nucleotide ribosomal RNA is filed under the name uncultured bacterium. RNAcentral's name for it is "bacterial SSU rRNA". It matches the Rfam family "Bacterial small subunit ribosomal RNA", at positions 330 to 794 of the family's 1533-position model. The record is from RNAcentral.